This 344-nucleotide unclassified non-coding RNA is filed under the name Hevea brasiliensis (rubber tree). Lineage: Eukaryota; Viridiplantae; Streptophyta; Magnoliopsida; Malpighiales; Euphorbiaceae. The record is from RNAcentral.
AAAAAAAAAAAAAUAUAAAAAAAUUAAAAAAAAAAAGCCUAGAAAUCAAAUAUAUUAAAAAAAAAAAACUAAAGGGGAGAAAGAGGAACCAAAUUAGUGAUACAAAAGAGCGUCAGAUUAUGAAAACCCUAAGGGAAAGCCCUGAAUCCUAGAUAAUGAUGAGGUUUCGGCGAAUCAAAAGUGAAAGUAGAAGCGCACUUGCAGGGAUGGAGGAUUUUAGCAUUAAAUGAAAUGGUGCAGGGAAGAGGGAUGGGGGUGAUCAAUAUUAGGUUUCGUGGAUACAGAGAUAGAGAGAAAGAGAGAGAAAUAAAGGAGUGUUUGGGUACGAGAAUUGGGGAUUGCGG